Long non-coding RNA from Cavia porcellus (domestic guinea pig), 999 nucleotides. RefSeq lists it as uncharacterized. The transcript has 2 exons. Lineage: Eukaryota; Metazoa; Chordata; Mammalia; Rodentia; Caviidae. The record is from RefSeq and is a predicted model, not a curated record.
AUGGCUGCGGGUGUGGGGCGCUGAAGGGAGCUGAUGCUGGGGGCUCUGGCUCCCGCGGUUCUCCCGGCUCCUCUUAGCCCCCUCCAUUCUUCCCCGGGGAGUUGGCUCUCUGUUCAAGAUGGGUCUUGUCUUCCUGUCCGUUUGUCCUGGUUCUGCGGCCCUCCGUGGUGGAGCUGCCGCUCGGUUAUUGAAGUGCGCAAUAAGGGGAGGAGGGAAGGAGACAGGGAUGCGGGGGGCGGGCAGAGGGGGAAGGCCCAGCCCGCGUCUCCGAGCCACUGCUCCCACCUCAGCCUGAGACGGACCUGCGCGCCGCGCACUGCGGGACACCUGCUGGCUCUCCCUUCAGGGAACAGCUGUGAGGGUGACACCAGCAGAGUGCUUCGACAGGGACGGCCGCAAACCGGCCUGACUAGAGGGCAGCAGGGAACUGGAAUGAAUAUCAGCCUUGUGAGAAGCCUGGGAGCUGCGAGUGUCCCGGAUGUGGAUUUGGACUGGCAGAAAGCAGGCCGUUUAAGAAGGAAGCGGCCUUCCCUGGCCCUACAAUGCUGUGCAAAACUGAAGAAGUCAAAGGCUUUGUCCUCAGUGGAGCAAAAGGGCUUGGUUGGACCCUUUCAAUCAAAGAGGAUGGGAGCCAUGUAAAAUCAGGAGCUGGAAAGUAAAGGCUGCCAUUCUUUCCAGGUCUGCCUGUUAAGAGCUUCUCUAAGUGACUGUACUUGAACUGUGGUCCAUCCAUUUCUUAAAAAGUAACGGAGUUGGGGAUGUAGCUCAGUGGUAGAGUGCUUUCCCAGCAUGUGCAAACAUUGGGUUCGAACCACUCCCCCCCACCCCAUCCCAGGGCUUCAAAAAAGAAAAAGUGAUACGUGCUGCAUACUCAACAGAGAUGAAAACAUAGUCCUCACAAAGAAUUGUACUGAGUGCUACAGUAGGUUUUAGACUAGCUAAUGGCAGUUUCUCAAAUGUUCACCACUAAGUGAAUGAAUAAACACUACAUACGUGUGA